Denticeps clupeoides (denticle herring) is the source of this 927-nucleotide long non-coding RNA. The record is from Ensembl. Lineage: Eukaryota; Metazoa; Chordata; Actinopteri; Clupeiformes; Denticipitidae.
UAAAGCAUCCUGAGACCCUUCAUGUGUGGGGCUGCUUCUUAUCAAAGGGAGUGGGGCUCACUCACAAUGUACCCCAGAACAUGGCCAAGAAUAAAGAAUGGAACCAAAAACAUCCUCCGACAGCAACUUCUCCAAACCAUCCAAGAAAAGUGAGAACUAAGAGAACUAAGUCGAGGAACAAAACAUUGAAAUGGCCAGGAAGCUCCCGGACCUUAAUCCAAUGGAGAAUUUGUGGUCAAUCCUCAAGAGCAGUCAGUCAAGAUUUGGUCCAGAUGUUGAUUGACAGCAUGUCAGGUUUUCACUGUGCUGUAAAGAGACAAAGACUGGAUGGGUUCUCAAGAACUUUGAAUAAAGCAAAAAUAAACUAAGCAUCAGUCGAGACUCACUUCUGGAUCCAAGGGUUGCUACAGGUAGUAUGAAUACAACAGAAUGCCACAAGGACUCUGUACAGUCAUUCAUGCACAUGAUGUUGAAUUUCUAAUCAAGUCUCACAUUACAAUUCUGGCAGUGGAUCCAGAUUUGUAAUCUAUCAGGUGAGGCUGCUAUGAAGGAAGAUGUCUGCACUCCUUCUGUGCAGAACUACUCACCUGAUCCAACAUCUUCAACAGAUUCUACCAGUUGGUCAAGAUGUCUUGCCCUCAAUCACCUUGUGUGACCUCGAGGAUCUUCAAGAUACAGUGAUCAAACUGUAAUAAGACACCCCACCAGACAAGAAAGAUGGUAUGGAUUUGAGGAUGCUGACCGUGCUGAAACACUGGGAUGGACUUGGAGUCCAAGGUGGAAUCUUGAGGUUCCAGCUAGUCCUGCCCAGGAGUUUUGUGCUGCAAGUUCACUAAGGUCAAACUAGAACUCUGCACCUAACAAAAUAUAGAUUUUUUUCCAGCUCAACAUGGAGAGGGGCUAUGUAAAGGAAUAUGUGCGUUGCUG